AUUUCUGUUCUCAUCCUGAAGCAAAGUUCUUAACCUAAAGCACUAUUUCUGGGUUAGUUGAGUCUGUAACCUGAAACGUCUGUAACCUGAACCGUAUGUAACCCGAGGUACCACUGUAUUUAAAAUGCAUCUCUGGGUUAUUUGUGGGGCAUAGGAAUUCGUUCAUAUUAUUUUUCAAAAUACAGUGGUGCCCCGCAAGACGAAUGCCUCGCAAGACGGAAAAACCGCUAGACGAAAGGGUUUUCCGUUUUGAAGUUGCUUCGCAGGACGAAUUCCCCUAUGGGCUUGCUUCGCAAGACGAAAAUACCUUGCGAGUCUUGAGAUUUUUUUUUCGCUUUCCCCCCCCGUUAUCUAAUCUGCUAAGGCUUUAAUAGCCUUUAAUAGCCUUUUAGCAGCUCAUACCCUAAGCCUUUAAGCCUUUAAUAGCCGCGAACCCGCUAAUAGCGCUAAUAGCGCUAAUCCGUCAAUGGGCUUGCUUCGCAAGACGAAAAAACCGCUAGACGAAGACUCUCGCGGAACGGAUUAAUUUCGUCUUGCGAGGCACCACUGUAUAGUCCGCCCCCCCAAGGUCUGAGGGACAGUGGACCGGCCCCCUGCUGAAAAAGGUUGCUGACCCCUGUCCUAAAGCAACUGUAAGAACAGGACGCUGGAGGAGUUGAGCCUUUGGUCUGAUUCUUGUUCCUAAAUCACUGCUGAAUUUCUGAAUGUUGCGGCACUUUCUUGUAUAUUUACCUUUGUGCAUACAUUUAAAUAAUCCAGUCCCGGGUUGAUCUAUUGUUGGCAGAGUGCUGCCUUUGAGGAAUUCGGGUUCAAAUGUAGGUCUAGGGUGGCCCUGGGCAAGCUGCUUGCUCUUGUGUUUAUCUCGGCUUAAACCAACCACCCAGGUUUGCCAUGUGAGGACCCACCACUAUUCUGAGCUCUUUUAAGAAAAAAGAGACGUACAGUGGUACCUCAGAUUAAGUACUUAAUUGGUUCAGGAGGUCCGUUCUUAACCUGAAACUGUUCUUAACCUGAAGCACCACUUUAGCUAUUGGGGCCUUCCGCCGCCGCCACCACGCAAUUUCUGUUCUCAUCCUGAAGCAAAGUUCUUAACCCGAGGUACUAUUUCUGGGUUAGCAAAGUAUGUAACCUGAAGUGUAUGUAACCUGAAGCGUAUGUAACCCGAGGUACCACUGUAAAUGUAUUUUUAACAUUAAGGUCAAGGAGAAUGCUUUGUAUUAAAACCUUGGUUUAGCCACUUCGAAAACACUGGUAAUAAACUGGUUUGGUUUAGUUGUUUGCUUUUGGG
Non-coding RNA from Podarcis lilfordi (Lilford's wall lizard), 1288 nucleotides. The record is from the annotation of a GenBank genome assembly. NCBI's taxonomy places the organism in Eukaryota, Metazoa, Chordata, Lepidosauria, Squamata, Lacertidae.